AGGGAAUCUUCCACAAUGGACGAAAGUCUGAUGGAGCAACGCCGCGUGAGCGAAGAAGGUUUUCGGAUCGUAAAGCUCUGUUGCUGGAGAAGAACGAGUGCGAGAGGAAAUGCUCGUACUGUGACGGUAUCCAGCCAGAAAGCCACGGCUAACUACGUGCCAGCAGCCGCGGUAAUACGUAGGUGGCAAGCGUUGUCCGGAAUUAUUGGGCGUAAAGCGCGCGCAGGCGGCUUCUUAAGUCUGAUGUGAAAUCUUGCGGCUCAACCGCAAACGGUCAUUGGAAACUGGGAAGCUUGAGUGCAGAAGAGGAGAGUAGAAUUCCACGUGUAGCGGUGAAAUGCGUAGAUAUGUGGAGGAAUACCAGUGGCGAAGGCGGCUCUCUGGUCUGUAACUGACGCUGAGGCGCGAAAGCGUGGGGAGCAAAC
Molecule: ribosomal RNA, 425 nt
Filed under: uncultured bacterium
Lineage: Bacteria
Description: bacterial SSU rRNA
Rfam family: Bacterial small subunit ribosomal RNA
Source: RNAcentral